AAUCCAUGCAUCAGACACUUUUGAAUUAAGUCUUUAAGUCGUUCCCAAGCAUCAUAUAAUGUUUCAUCCUCUAAUUACCGAAAAGACAUGAUGUCAUUUCUAAGCUU
Molecule: small nucleolar RNA, 107 nt
Filed under: Gossypium arboreum
Lineage: Eukaryota; Viridiplantae; Streptophyta; Magnoliopsida; Malvales; Malvaceae
Also listed under: 1 other name
Description: Plant small nucleolar RNA R71
Rfam family: Plant small nucleolar RNA R71
About the family: R71 is a member of the C/D box family of snoRNAs containing the C (UGAUGA) and D (CUGA) box motifs. Multiple nearly identical copies of this snoRNA have been identified in Arabidopsis, and it is thought to function as a 2'-O-ribose methylation guide for 18S ribosomal RNA.
Source: Rfam by way of RNAcentral